RNAcentral lists this long non-coding RNA (1260 nucleotides) under Cyanistes caeruleus (blue tit). RNAcentral describes it as "lncRNA (ENSCCEG00000018924.1)". The record is from RNAcentral. Lineage: Eukaryota; Metazoa; Chordata; Aves; Passeriformes; Paridae.
AUGUCAGAGCUGGAAAAUUGGGUUAUUCAGUGGGGAAAAAACCCCUGGGGUCCAAACUCUUGCAGAAGUAUGCAGCAGGCUGACCUAGAGUUUUCCAAAUUAAAAGAAAUGACCAAGUGUAAACUUUUCUCCCAAAAAUCCUUAAAAUGUGCAGGAGCAUGGGCAGUGUGGUUAGUUGCCAAAAGCUUAGCUGAAGAAAAACAGGCAGCCCAAGUAGAAAUUCAGAACCUGAAGGAGGAAAACAAGAAACUGAAAGAAGAAAUAAAGGCUCAGCAGCUUAAACUAGAGGAGGGUAUAAUUCGAGAAGGAGCUGUGGCCAUGGAACAAGCGCAAAGUGUUCUCCAGUACCAAGAGGCGUGUGAACAAAAAAAGGCCAUUUUGAAUGAAAAUCAGGCAUUGAAGGAAAAAGUAGCCAUCAGUACAAAAGCUGUAGAGGAGGCACAAAGAACAAUCCAAUUACUGGUGCAAAAAAUACAGUCCCUGAAAGACAGGAGCACAGACCAGCAGGCCUGUGAGGUCAAGAUGGAAAAGUUAAAAGCUGCGUUGGAGGCGAAGCACGGGGCUGUCAUGGCCCCUACAAAAUCCCCCCUUCAGAGGGAUGAGGAGCACUGGGAUGGAAAGGAGCGGGUUCAUCCAGAAGGCAGCCCCUCCACAGGGGAGUGUAAGCUUGUGAGCCCACAGUCAGUAGUUUUUGAGAGGCCAGAAAGAUUUAAAGCAAAUCGUGUUUCACUUCCCUGUGCUCCAGCGGCUGGGGAAAGGGGAGCAGGGGAGCAGGGCAGUGAGAGGAACGUGCAGCCACAGGCAGGACAGGUUAUCCCGGAGGGAACAGCCAGCCCUGGCCCAGCUCCUCGCCAGCUCAAACCCAGGAGCGCCCCGGGGAGGAGAGAGCAGCCGGCAGGCGGUGUCUGGCCAAGGGAGGACAGAGGGGGAUGCGGGAGAGGAAGGGAGAACCGCAGGGAUGUGCGGGGGCCGGAGGUGCCGCCGAGCCCCGCCGCGGGCAGAGGGAGGAGAGGGAGGUGGCAGGGCAGGAGGCGGUGGCAGGACGGCACAGCCCCCCGGUUCGUGGUGCAGAACACCAUGGCCAGGAGGGAGUUAAGCACCAUGCGAGUGGACAUCUGGAGGGAGCUCCGGGGCCGGGGGGAGGACAUGGCCCGCUGGGAUAAUGCUCCCAUCAGGGUUUUGUUGGAUCGCCUGCUGGAGAUCGGCCGCAGGAGAGAGGGAAGCGAGCCCGGGGCUCCUGCCCUCCCUGUCAUGGCCUGA